AAUGCAAUGUUCCAAAAGAAAUAAAUUAGGAAAUCAAUCAAUCAAUCAAUCAAUCUUUCUUUGAAUGAAAUCACUUUUAUUUUGAAAGAGUACAGGGUUAUGGAAUGAUAUUGAAAGUAGGUUUUCAUGUGUGUGCAGGAGCAUUUAGGCCAUAGCAUUGAAUGACGUCUUAUUAUUAUUAUUCUUACGAUGUUCCCUGUGAGAUCAUUGAUGAUCCGCCAAUGAAAACACAGAAGUAGUAGAAGAAGAAGAUUAUAGGUUGCAGAUGUUGCGCAUGGGCUCAUCGGCGCUAAUUGAAAUCAGCUGUGAGGGAACGGAUAAAAGGGAACCGGAGGAGCUUCAGUCGUGGUCCGGCUCCGCUCCGGUGCGGUCGAGGCUCCAGGCAGAGACGCUGAAGCGAGUGAUGCGACAUGUGGAGGAGCUUUAGAAACGUCCGUGCAGCUCGUCCUGUGGCCUCUUCUCUUGUCUUGUCUUUGUGUGUUUUUUCUUAGUUAGUCGAAUGGGAGGUUCGACGCUGCAGAUGAGCGCAGAGCCUCCCGCUGCUUCCGCCGAUUCGGAGGCGAAGGCCCCGAAGAGACGAUUGGAAGCGAACCGAACAUUGGGAUCAGUGUGUGGAGCUUUGGGCCUCAGCGCGGCGAGCUGAAAGUGUGUUCCUCCAUGUUGUCUUUUUUUCCUCUUGUUUUUUCCUCCAGUGUGUGGUUUUCGCUUGCGGUGCUCAGCGCUGCCGGGGUUUCCUGGUUGCGUUUGGUGCCGAGGCCAUCAUCGCUCAGCAGAAGCAGAAAGGCGAGGAUUUUAAUGUCAAGUCAAGGAGCUGCUAUAGUGGCGCGAUGACGAGCAGCGCGAGGUUUCAUGGACUCAGUCAGUGUUUGUAGAUGUCUUUUUUUUUUUUGUUGUCCAACAUUUCAGUGAAUGUCAUCCAGCAGGUGUUUGACGUACCGGGACAGCGCGGCGAGCUGAAAGUGUGUUCCUCGGACGUGUUUGUCAGGUCGCUCAGCACUCGGUGCGAGAAGCGAGCAGAGCCCAGGCGGCGUAUCGCUUCCAUGGCUACAUGACAUCAGGGAGUUGAAUAAAGUUUGAACACGUUACGUUUUAUUUGCAAGUAGCUUUUUUUUUCCUUAGGUGAGGCGCUGCGCCAGAGGAAACCACACAGUGAAUGCAGUAAUCAAGUUUAUUGGCAUCAACAGGUAACAAGAGUUGUAUCGAAUUUCGUGAUGCCUCCCGGUGUUUUCUUUGAUCCAACAGGAAGGUUCCGUCGGCCCCUCCCGAGAAUCUUCUCCUGUCUUCUCAGUCGUCAACCAAUCAGGUACUAUUAUGUGUUUGCAGGUCCCACGUUUAGCAGAGAAGAGGUAAGAAAGAAUAGCACAGACUAUGAGGUAUUUGUUUAGAGUGUUUUUAUUGAAACAGGUGCAGUUUGACGUGCUGAGCCUCGACCAACCAGGAGCUUUGCUGCGACGUUUUUCUUCACAAUAAAAGGUCAAAGAUUGUUUGGAGUGGUCUUCUU
This is a long non-coding RNA of Poeciliopsis prolifica (blackstripe livebearer), 1501 nucleotides long. RefSeq lists it as uncharacterized. The record is from RefSeq and is a predicted model, not a curated record. NCBI's taxonomy places the organism in Eukaryota, Metazoa, Chordata, Actinopteri, Cyprinodontiformes, Poeciliidae. The transcript is spliced from 4 exons.